CACCGAACCAGGGGGUGUUCACUAAGUGAAUUAACAAUAAUUUAUUUAGUGAACUGAGAUGCAAGCUUCGCAGCAAACCCUUUGAACCUGAACCGGAUAAUACCGGCGUAGGAAUGGUAAAAUCUGCUUAU
Molecule: non-coding RNA, 131 nt
Filed under: Thalassotalea sp. ND16A
Lineage: Bacteria; Pseudomonadati; Pseudomonadota; Gammaproteobacteria; Alteromonadales; Colwelliaceae
Also listed under: 1 other name
Description: TPP riboswitch aptamer (THI element)
Rfam family: TPP riboswitch aptamer (THI element)
About the family: Vitamin B(1) in its active form thiamin pyrophosphate (TPP) is an essential coenzyme that is synthesised by coupling of pyrimidine and thiazole moieties in bacteria. The previously detected thiamin-regulatory element, thi box was extended, resulting in a new, highly conserved RNA secondary structure, the THI element, which is widely distributed in eubacteria and also occurs in some archaea.
Source: Rfam by way of RNAcentral